This 578-nucleotide long non-coding RNA is filed under the name Anas platyrhynchos platyrhynchos (common mallard). Its description in RNAcentral is "lncRNA (ENSAPLG00000022837.1)". The record is from RNAcentral. Lineage: Eukaryota; Metazoa; Chordata; Aves; Anseriformes; Anatidae.
UAAAAAGGCACUUCCAGCAAAGUCAGGCAGCAAAGUCGGCUCUUGGAAAAGCUGGCCUCCUGUUUUGUAGACAGAGAGUUGUCGUGGUCUCCUUGGAGCUGCAUCCUGGCUUUGUAUGUGCAUUUCUAGGUCUCCCUUGAAACAAGCAUGAUGCAUCAGAGGAAAGCAACAAAAGACGCUGAGCUGCCUGUGGAUUUUAACAAGUGACAAGCUCAGUGCUGGGAACAGCCGAAAAGCCUGGAGACGUACAUGCCUCGGUGUAGUCCCUGGUGCUACGCAUUGCAACAGCUCCUUGAACGUCAGCCGGAGAAUUCCUUACAGUCCUUUUCAUAUUAUUGGAGACCAUCCUACCAAGUGGAAGAGCUCACCCACCAACCGAGAACAUAACGGAAAAAGGUACCUCUGUAAAGUGCUACCAAAAAGAUAAAUGCUAACUUUACACCUACCAGACUGAGAUAGGAAGACAAGGGAGCUUGGAACUGUGUUAUUUUAAAGGGAGAAAGGCCAUAAGUUUCAGAAUUUAGUAUGUCAUACUGGAGGCUCUGAACUGAAGCAUUUUCAGGUCUGGUACAUCCAGA